Ostrea edulis (European flat oyster) is the source of this 6521-nucleotide long non-coding RNA. RefSeq lists it as uncharacterized. NCBI's taxonomy places the organism in Eukaryota, Metazoa, Mollusca, Bivalvia, Ostreida, Ostreidae. The transcript has 7 exons. The record is from RefSeq and is a predicted model, not a curated record.
AUUCCUCCCUUUAAUUUGUCUUUGCCGUCAAAGACACACAACCCAGAUUCAUUUCACCCCUGGCAGGACAAGAGUGGUCAUGGCACCAACUGGUAAAAUCUUGCACAGAGGUCCCUAGGUUCAAUUCCCGAUCCAGCCACAAAUUUUCUCCGUGUAUGUCUAUCUGAGACUGAGUUGGAAAAUUACGGUAUCUUCAUAGUGACAAACUAAUGAAAAUAUUGAUCAAAUUCGACUGGUCAAGGACUGUUAAUAUAAAUAAAUUUGAAACAUUGGUCAUUGUAAUGAUUGGGUUCAUGUUAUACUAAGCUUGUGUUUCAAGACAAGACUGUCUUCGUUGGUGAUGAUACUGAUGUAUAUAUUUAGAAACAAGUAAUGCUUUGAUUUUGAUUACAGGUGUGGUCUUUAAAAAAAUUAAUGCAUGGCAAGGUUGAUAGUGAGACUAAUAAAUUCUUUCAGCAGAAUUCAGCUAGACACAAAAAAAAAAGACAAUCACUACAGCCUUCCAAGAAGAUGGACUGCCUCACAAUAGUUUCCUUGAGGACUGUCUUGAAAUAUCCAGAGUUUAAGAAGUAGACAAUUUGAAAGUGAAAAGGAAGUGCCAGGAAACGUCAGAAUGCAGGACAGAAUGCAGAAGUUGCACCAUUUACCCUACAGCUUCUGGGGGCCUAGGCCGCCCCCAACCUACUGGGAGUAACCUCUCUCUCUCUCUCUCUCUCUCUCUCUCUCAUUUCUUUGGGAUAUCAGAAAAAGAUAGCGGAUAGACGUUGUGAAAAGUAUCUAAACGAUCAAGUGCUGGACCCCCCCCCCCCCUUCCACUUCAAAAAUUCCUACACCCGCUUCUGUACAAGAUAUACUUCACAAGAGAUAGAAUCCGGCAGUAACUCGAAAAUCCAGGUUUUCUGCAACUCGUCAUAGUUACUUCAGUGUGUAAUUUUUACGACAAGUUUAAUUUUUAGUGAAUUACAUUCUCAAACAAAUGUGAUAAAAGUUGAUGAUCAGACAUCGUCAUAUUCCACUUUUCCCCUCUCUAAAUAUAACUAUGAUCAUUUGACCCAGCUGACGUUUUUGUGAGCAAAAUAUUUACGAAGGUAAUGUGACCAGGGUUAAAUACUAGAUGAUACAAAGAGAAGAAAUAAUGGAGUUUGAAUGAUAUCAAUGAUGUUUAUUUGUGUUUGAAUGCAUGAUGGUGAUCAUUGUACAUUGAUAAAGUGGCUUUUUAUAGGAUCCGAAACAGUGACAUGUGAGAAAGUUGGUUGGCGGGGAUUUCUACUUUCACUUUUGAGGAUGCAGUAAACGGAUGACAGGAGGGGAAGCUGCGCAUUUCCUCGUUGGAUGAUUUGUGUACAUGUGUGGACGUGGAUGUCAUUUCAGUGAGUUCACUUGGAUUUGAGAGGCUGAGCAAAGGCACAAAGAAAUUGUUUCCUGAGUAUAGAGUCUGAAACGAGGAUAUUGCAUCAUUCCUGAUCAGGCAAGUCUGGCUUGUUCAUUUAUUUUAUUUAUCAUUUCUUUUUUUUUUUUUUUUUUGAAUGAUUUUUUAUUCAUUUAUUGGUUUACAAUAUUACAGAAGGUGAAAUGUACAUGUUUAACUAUUUCUGUGUAUCAUGUAUGUGUAUUUGUUUUAAUUUUUAAUUUUCUUUGGGGGGGGGGGGGGGGGGGGGGGCUGUUAUCAGUUUGUGUAGAGUGUCAGUUUUGUGUAUUACUUAAAGAUCAGUACCAGUGUCCUACUGUUGAACAUUGGGCAGAUAUGUAAAUUGGCACUUGGUUGGUUUAUGCAGUCCUCCUUGACAUUGACAGGGCUUUCCCAUGGAGACUGUUUUCCAAGUUAUGCUAGAGUGUCAGUCAUCUAUCUGUGUCUCGCAAGUACUUAGUGCAGACAGCUAUCAUGCUGGGGAUAUAGACUUCCUUUGGAAUGACGUACAUACUCAAUGUUGCGUCGCUUGUGGAGACCCACAUCUUGAAGAGUGACCUUGACUUUUGACCUUGACCCCAUUUUUAAAGGUCAACCACCUAAGACUUUGUGGAGGAGAAAGUGAUUUUGACCUUGACCCACUUUCAAGGUCAUUCAAGGUCAACAAUCCUAGAAUAUCAUGUGACUACUCCUAAAGAUGUAGAUGGAGGUUUAUGAUAGAAAACGUCAUUUUUUGGCCCCUAUUUGCCCCCUGGGGCCAAUAUGAAAAUUCCGAAUCCUUAUUGCACAUCUACAGGACAUUACUAUUCAGCUCCUUGAAUAUCAUGUGACUAUUCCAAAAGAUGUAGAUGGAGUUAAAGUGACAAGCUUUGUGAAAGAAAACGUCAUUUUUCAGCCCCUAUUUGCCCCCUAGGGCCAAUAUGAAAAUUCCGAAACCUUAUUGCACAUUUACAGGACAUUACUAUUCAGCUCCUAGAAUAUCAUGUGACUGCUCCUACAGAUGUAGAUGGAGUUUAAGUGACAAGCUUUAUGUUAGAAAAUGUCAUUUUUCAGGCCCUAUUUGCCCCCUGGGGCCAAUAUGAACAUUCUGAAACCUUAUUGCACAUCUACAGGACUUUGCUAUUCAGCUCCUAGAAUAUCAUUUGGAUUGCGCUGUAAAUGUGGACACAGUUUUAGUGACAACAACCGGGACAGACGGACGGACGGACGGACCGGGAUAAAAACAAUAUACCCGAACUUUCUUUAGAAAGUGCGGGUAUAAUGAAGCAUUGCACAAAGUUUCAAGACUAUCCGAUAAGCCAUAUAGGAGAAGUGUUCACAAGAUUUUGUGACAGAAAGAAAGACGGAUGAAGUACAAAAACUAUGUCUCCCCCUGGAAGAGGGGAGACAUAAUUAGAAUUUUUUUUAGACAGAAAGGAAUGAGAUCUCUGCAGGGCUUUCAAAAGUAGCCGGUAGCCGGCGGAUUUCCGCCGCCUAUAGUAACAUUAGGUGCCGGCUACUUUAGUGACAAAAAUGUAUGUCCAAUGAAAAAAACUUUUAUAAAACUUUAAACAUCUUCCAAACUUUAGUAGACUCAGAAAUCGCGGCCGUAUCAACCAGGAUGUAAAAAUGUGUUUACUUGCGCUAAAUUUAGUUCAGGUAAAUACCGGCACCUGAUUGGUCGUCUGUUGGUGUAGAAAAUAAUACGUCAAUUGCAAUAGUCGGAAAGCCUCGGAUUUACCCAAUUCGUGACAACACAGACGAGAAUUUCCGAAAGAUAACAACAAGUCCUGAACGUAAAAAUCAAUGAUGUUGACGGAAUGAAGAGAACAAAUACCCUGUUCAGUUUCGGUUUAAAAAGGCCAGAAGUGAAAGUGACACGAAUUCAAGAAACGGACUCUAUCUGGAAAAGGAAAACAAUAUCAAAGCUCCUCUGUGAGAAGUUGGCCAAGGAAAGCAUUCAGAAGAAAGUGGAGAUUCAUUGUUUUUACCAGAUCCAGUAGAUCACAGAAAGCAUCUAGUAGGGGAGGUCUACAGAUCGAAGCAUGCCAAAUGUGUAAAGAACAAGUUUCCAGGAUUAAGCCAGCCAGUAGAUGAGACUAUUAUAUCAAAAAUACAUUUACUUGUACACGAGGGCAGGACACAAAGCGUUGAUGAAACAAAAAGACAUUUCCGUCUGUUUGUAAAGGAUACUAUUUCACCAGGGAACACCAUCUCAGAAUUUAACAGAUGCUUUUACCCCGCCAAUAAGGAUGUAAGAAAUCACAUUUACAGGGCACCGAGAUUUUGCCAGGUAGUUUAGAACUGUGUGCAUUGGUUUUGGAAGAAUUUGGGCUGUUUAGGCUAAAAUCCAUUAUGAUUGGACAGAAUAUGAACACACACAUCCAAUACUUCAAAGAUAUUAUGUUUGUGGAGGCAGAGAUUUUGAUUGCAUCCACUGUUUAGAAUACAUCCUUAAGGGAAGCAGACUGCCGCCUUUACCCAAUGAUAUAAUGAUUAAUCAUAACUAUAUCUGUUUUGUACCAAAUAGAAAGAGCAUUGAUUCAGGUCAUUUUCAAAUCCACUGGCAUACAUUGUACUAUACAUGCAACCUUUUCAAACUUUACAUUUAAGAUUUUAUAAAGGAAAUAUCUUAAUGUUUCACAUGUUUACCUUUCACUGUGUUAUGUAAUUCAUUAUACCUGCCAUUAUGCCAGUCUUCCUGAACAUAAUUUGUUUUCUGCAAUUUCAUUGGCCAAGAGGCUUAAUCCUGGGUUAUCAGAUUGAGCAUUUAUAUUUAGUAUCCCAUUGAUUUUGUCAGCCCUAUAUAAGGAGCUGACUCAGAUUUACUCACUCUGCUAGGUUAAAGAACUCUAAGGUUUGUACUUUUCACAUGAAUUUCGUGUUCGCCUCUUAUCUUUUACAUAGAGUAGGAAAUGAACAUAACAUUGAGUUAGGGAACAAUUUAGAUUUUACAUUAUAAUAUGUAAAUACCUUAGCAGAGUCAAUUUACUUGGUUCAGGGUAGUAUCAGAUAUUACUUUUUCAAAGUUUAAGUGUUUAGGCUAUCUCAAUGUUUCUAUAGUUAGCCUUGUCCUAUGUUACUUUUAGAUGUAUGGAAGCCUUUUAGUGUUAUAACACUAUAUUUAUGCCCCCAUUCAAAGAAGAGGGGCAUAUUGGUUUGCACCUGUUGGUCGGUCGGUAGACCACAUGUUGUCUGCUUAAUAUCUUAAGAACCAUUCACUUGAUCGUAAUAUAUUUCAUAUGUGGGUUGGUUAUGAAAAGAAGAGGACCCCAAUUGUUUUUCUGGUCGAAAUGUCAAGGGUCAAUCUACUCUGGACAUAGGAAGACACUGCCUGCUCAAUAUCUUGAGAACCCUUUGCUUGACAGACAUCAAACUUGGUACACUGGUACAUCUCAAGGAGUAGAUUUGAGGUCACAUGGUCAAAAGUCAAGGGGUAAACUGGACAUAGUAAUAUAUUGUCUCUUAUGUUUUAAGAAUUAUUUGCUUGAUUGACACCAAACCUGGUACAGCAUAAGGAGUAGAUGACCCCUAUUGAUUUUUAGGUCACUUGGUCAAUCCACUCCUGACACAGGAAGAUAUUGUUUGCUCAAUAUUUCGAAUUGAUGAUACUACUAUCAAUCAAAUUAUGCAUGUGUAUAACCCUUUUCAAUUUUGCACCAUGGGGGCUUAUAUGUUUUACAAACACCUCAUGUUUUAUAGUUUGUGAAAGCUUGUUAGGGUCAUAACUUUAGAUUUUCUUAUUAUGGUACUUGCCCGUCAGAGACUGGACAUAUUAUGGUAUGGUGUUGUCUGUCCGGACCUUGUAAGAUGGGAUACAGACUGAACCGUAAGCUCCAGAAUCUUACAACUUGGUACAUUUGAUCACCAUAAAAGGAAGAUGCUUAUUGUUUUUUAAGGUCAAGGUUGUAGGUUCACUUAAUAGGAAAACCUUGUUUGAGAAAAUUACAGAUUCUUGAACUGAGUAUUUUGAGGAAACAUUACAUAGAAAGUACAUGAUUUGUCAAAUUUCUCCCAAUAUUCAACUGAGAACCUUAUUCUGCAGAGUAUUUGUAUGGGUAUGGAAAAUGUGUAUGUGGCUAUGAUUUUGAUUUUUGUUUAAUUUUUUUUUUUUUUUGAAAAUUACAGGUUUAACCGAGUCAGUUUUUGAGGAAAUAUACAUGCAUUAAAUAAAUGACGGUUUGACCUUUUAACUCCUCUCACAGUUUUGAAACUAGGGUCUUUGUAAAUAACUUCUUUGGUGUUUUAGAAUAUUUACAGAUUGUUGAUCAUGGUAAAUUUUGGGGAAAUAUUUUCCGCAGAGCUCUAGUUGUCUAUCUACCGGCCUCCUGUCACUUUUAAGUUUAGGAGCUUUUAUUCAUGGAAAGAAAGUAUGUGACAGCCUGAUGAUGGCUGAUACUAUUUAAAGCCUUUUUAUAUGCCCGUCUUAAGACGGGACGUAUUAUGGUAUGGCGUUCAUGUCCGUCCGUCUGUUAGCUUUUUCGUGUCUGACCCGUAACUUAAAUACUACAAGGCCUAGAAUCAUCAAACUUUGUCUGUAGAUGCAUCUUGGGUAGAAGGUGUGUCGCACAUUAAAACCAGGUCACUGUGACUUUUCAUUAAGAAGAUAUCCGUCUGUCCGUCCGUCUGUUAGCUUUUUCGUGUCUGACCCGUAACUUAAAUACUACAAGGCCUAGAAUCAUCAAACUUUGUCUGUAGAUACAUCUUGGGUAGAAGGUGUGUCGCACAUUAAAACCAGGUCACUGUGACUUUUCAUUAAGAAGAUAUGGCCAUAUAUGGCAAAAACUUGUCCGGCUCAUAACUUGAAAACUAUUAGGCCUAGAAUCACCAAAAUUGGUCAACUAAUGCAUCUUAGGUAGAAGGUGUGUCGCAUCCUACUUUAAGGUCACUGUGACAUUUAAUUAAGGUAAUAUAAAAAAAAAUGUUUUAAUGGGUACAAUCUAUACUGUUAACAAUAUGUGACGGGCGUAUCAUGUGCCGUGGCGGUGCACUUUAUUCUAGAAAUGGCAUCAGAAAAACACCCUAUGUAACCUUUUCUGCUUAUACUCAUUUAUUUUUAUUGGAAAACUUAUUACUUGUUAUCAGCUACUCUAAAACAAUAUUGACUUGUGCUAUAAUAAAUUUGUAAACUUUA